GGGUGGGUACCGAAGCGGUCAAACGGGGCAGUCUGUAAAACUGCUGGCUUUACGCCUUCGUAGGUUCGAAUCCUACCCCACCCA
This 84-nucleotide transfer RNA is filed under the name Candidatus Berkelbacteria bacterium. RNAcentral's name for it is "tRNA-Tyr". It matches the Rfam family "tRNA". Rfam says of the family: Transfer RNA (tRNA) molecules are approximately 80 nucleotides in length. Their secondary structure includes four short double-helical elements and three loops (D, anti-codon, and T loops). Lineage: Bacteria; Candidatus Berkelbacteria. The record is from RNAcentral.